UGAACAGAGUUGCACUCUGGAGGUAGAAA
RNAcentral lists this non-coding RNA (29 nucleotides) under Mus musculus (house mouse). The record is from RNAcentral. Lineage: Eukaryota; Metazoa; Chordata; Mammalia; Rodentia; Muridae.